GAUGAACGCUGGCGGCAGGCCUAACACAUGCAAGUCGAACGAGUGGCGGACGGGUGAGUAAUGUCUGGGAAACUGCCCGAUGGAGGGGGAUAACUACUGGAAACGGUAGCUAAUACCGCAUACCAUCGGAUGUGCCCAGAUGGGAUUAGCUAGUAGGUGGGGUAACGGCUCACCUAGGCGACGAUCCCUAGCUGGUCUGAGAGUCUGACCAGGGACACGGGAACUGAGACACGGGCCAGAGUGCUACGGGAGGCAGAAGUGGGGAAUAUUGCAAAAUGGGGGCAAGCCUGAUGCAGCCAUGCCGCGUGUAUGAAGAAGGCCUUCGGGUGGUAAAGUACUGUCAGCGAGGAGGCGUUACUCGAAGAAGAAGCACCGGCUAACUCCGUGCCAGCAGCCGCGGUAAUUC
RNAcentral lists this ribosomal RNA (406 nucleotides) under uncultured bacterium. RNAcentral's name for it is "partial 16S ribosomal RNA". It matches the Rfam family "Bacterial small subunit ribosomal RNA", at positions 28 to 526 of the family's 1533-position model. The record is from RNAcentral.